Regulatory RNA element from Terribacillus aidingensis, 105 nucleotides. It matches the Rfam family "PyrR binding site". From Rfam's summary of the family: This family represents the PyrR binding site and terminator structure. This RNA structure is found upstream of a variety of genes involved in pyrimidine biosynthesis and transport. The record is from Rfam. Lineage: Bacteria; Bacillati; Bacillota; Bacilli; Caryophanales; Bacillaceae.
AGAACCUUUAAGACAGUCCAGAGAGGCUGAUAAGGAAGCGGAGAUGAACAGGAUACGUAUGUAUCCAAGCCCCUUAUUGCCUCAUGGUGAUAAGGGGUUUUUUCA